CCUACGGGAGGCAGCAGUGAGGAAUCUUGGGCAAUGGACGAGAGUCUGAACCAGCAAAGUAGCGUGAAGGAUGACUGCCCUAUGGGUUGUAAACUUCUUUUAUACAGGAAUAAAACGAGGCACGUGUGCCUUUUUGCAUGUACUUUAUGAAUAAGGAUCGGCUAACUCCGUGCCAGCCGCCGCGGUAAUCAGGAGGAUCCGAGCGUUAUCCGGAUUUAUUGGGUUUAAAGGGAGCGUAGAUGGGUUGUUAAGUCAGUUGUGAAAGUUUGCGGCUCAACCGUAAAAUUGCAAUUGAUACUGGCAGUCUUGAGUACAGGUGAGGAAGGUGGAAUUCGUGGUGUAGCGGUGAAAUGCUUAGAUAUCACGAAGAACCCCGAUUGCGAAGGCAGCUUACUAAACUGUGACUGACACUGAUGCUCGAAAGUGUGGGUAUCAAACAGGAUUAGAUACCCCAGUAGUC
This 460-nucleotide ribosomal RNA is filed under the name uncultured bacterium. RNAcentral describes it as "partial 16S ribosomal RNA". It matches the Rfam family "Bacterial small subunit ribosomal RNA", at positions 338 to 795 of the family's 1533-position model. The record is from RNAcentral.